GUCAAUGGCUCAGUCAGUAGAGCAUGAGACUCUUAAUCUCAAGGCUGUGGGUUCAAGCUGCAUGUUGGGCA
Non-coding RNA from Podarcis lilfordi (Lilford's wall lizard), 71 nucleotides. The record is from the annotation of a GenBank genome assembly. Lineage: Eukaryota; Metazoa; Chordata; Lepidosauria; Squamata; Lacertidae.